Molecule: long non-coding RNA, 279 nt
Filed under: Mytilus galloprovincialis (Mediterranean mussel)
Lineage: Eukaryota; Metazoa; Mollusca; Bivalvia; Mytilida; Mytilidae
Source: RNAcentral
GUAGAGGGGCAUUAUGUUUUCUGGUCUGUGCGUCUGUCCGUCCGUCUGUUCGUUCGUCCGUCCGUCUGUCCCGCUUCAGGUUAAAGUUUUUGGUCAAGGUAGUUUUUGAUGAAGUUUAAGUCCAAUCGACUUCAAACUUAGUACACAUGUCCCCUAUGAUAUGAUCUUUCUAAUUUUAAUGCCAAAUUAGAGUUUUUACCCCAAUUUCACGGUCCACUGAACAUGGAAAAUGAUAGUGCGAGUGGGGCAUUCGUGUACUUAGGACACAUUCUUGUUUUG